Molecule: non-coding RNA, 3223 nt
Organism: Arvicanthis niloticus (Nile rat)
Lineage: Eukaryota; Metazoa; Chordata; Mammalia; Rodentia; Muridae
Source: RefSeq, a predicted model, not a curated record
GUGGCUUCGGCGAUCUUCUCGGAGUCUCGGGUCCUGGACCUGAAGAUCCUGAGUCAUGGCUGCUUCCCGAGACUCUGAGAUCCACAAGGACGUUCAGAAUUACUAUGGGAAUGUACUGAAGACAUCUGCAGACCUCCAGACUAAUGCUUGUGUCACGUCAGCCAACCUGGUCCCCGAGUACAUCCGGGAAAGUCUGCAGAAUGUACAUGAAGAUGUUACUUCGAGGUAUUAUGGCUGUGGUCUGGUUGUUCCUGAGCGACUGGAAAACUGUCGGAUUUUGGAUCUGGGUUGUGGGAGCGGCAGGGAUUGCUAUGUGCUUAGCCAGCUGGUUGGUGAGAAGGGACAUGUCACCGGGAUAGACAUGACUAAGGUCCAGGUGGAAGUGGCUAAAACCUAUCUUGACUACCACACGGAAAAGUUUGGUUUCCAGGCACCCAAUGUGACUUUUCUUCAUGGCUGCAUUGAGAAGUUGGCAGAGGCUGGGCUCCAGAGUGAGAGCUAUGAUAUCGUUAUGUAGGGCAUUACGAUCAUUUCUGUUAUGAGUGAACACUGUUUCAUUUUGAGCACCUAUAUGCUACUGCUUUUUGAUGAACUGGCUUUCCUUUAGGGAAUUAAACGAAGCGUAGCUUGUCUUCAUAAAGGAAGGAGCAAGAAGGUCUCUGUAGUCUAUUAACAACAUGGCUGGGCUUCUCUAGCUUCUGGCACAACUGUGUGGCCAGGGAUAGCUGUGGAUACACCCCAACACAAAUGCAUAAGCUUAAAAUAAUGUGAGAUUUUUUUUGGUGGGGGUCACUCAAAUGUGCAUUUCUUGGUGUGAGUUUAGUAGCAGACAAUGCCACGUUGCAGUGUCAACACACCUGCCUGCCAAAGUAAAGCCAGUGAGCUCCCCAAACCAGGCAGACCAUGCGCUCCUGAAACACGCUCACCUCUUGUCUGCAGUUGUGGGGUUUUAAACUACAGAGACCUGUUGUAAGACGUUUGUUUUGGAGGAUUUUCUAUUUGUGGGAUCAUCAACAGGUACUCACCUAGACUUUGAUGACAGAGCUUACUGCACACUGUGGCUAUGUGGUAGUCAUAAAAUAGCCAACCUGGGGCUGCCAGGGCCCGAGGAGCAGAACAUCAGAUUAGUUCAGACACAGCAGGUGAUGAUAUCCACACUUGUGUUAGUCAUUCAAGAUAUGUGAGAUUGUUUUUGAAAGAAUCUAGCAGACUGGUUUUGGUUUUUUGGUUUUUGUUUUGGAUUUCGAGACAGAGUUUCUUUGUGUAGCUCUAGCUGUUCUAGAACUCAGGGUGUAGACAAGACUGGACAGGAACUCGUAGAGACUCAUAGAGAUCUGCCUACCUCAGCUUCCCAAGUGCUAAGUUUAAAGGUGUGUGCCCCGCUACCACCCAGCUCUAUCGGACAGUUUUACAGUGCUUUUUCUGGUAAGCAGAAUGAGUUCACCAUACAAUGAUAAUGAGAACACGGUAAGCAAAGGCCAGUGGCAUCAUUGCUCAUUAUCAGUUCAUAUGGUGUGUUGUGUGCCACCAAAUGCGAUGUCCUUUUUAAAGCUGGCAGCCAGUGAGGUGUUGACUCCAGCAUCCACACAGACACUUGUACUACUGAGUUGUUUUGGCUGUUGUGCCACUAGACUAUAGCAGGUGUUAUGUAGCUGGACUUCGGCUGCUUUGUGGGUUCACCUUUCUUCCACCCUUCUCUGUUUCCAACUUUUCAAUCCCCUAACUCUAGAUAGGAGAGAAAAAGGAAAAGAGGGGAAAGGGGACCAUGUUAUCAUUCCUGCUGAUUAGAGGUGUUGAAUUCCUUGGGGCAAGUUUGAUCUUUGCUGUCAGGAAAUCUAAUUUCUUAUUGUUGUUUCUUCUUUGUACAUGACUGCUUAACAAACCGAGACCAACAACAACCAACAGCAACCAGCCAUCAGCCUACCAACAAUCCCCCUAUUGGGGUCCUAGCAUUUAUAAACCCUCUGAAAAGUUUUCAGAAUUUCAAAUGUCACACAGUCGCUGAAACUAUCUGUAGCUGGCAAAAUCACACCCCUGCUUGAGCACGAGAUCCAAUUGUGUUAUCAACCUUGUUCCUGAUAAACAACAAGUCCUUCGGGAGGUCUAUCAAGUGCUGAAGCAUGGCGGGGAGCUCUAUUUCAGUGACGUCUACGCUAGCCUUGAAGUGCCAGAAGACAUCAAGUUGCACAAAGUUUUAUGGGGGGAAUGCCUGGGUGGUGCUCUGUACUGGAAGGAUCUUGCCGUCAUUGCCCAGAAAAUUGGGUUCUGCCCUCCACGUUUGGUCACUGCCAAUAUCAUUACGGUUGAAAACAAGGAACUAGAAAGGGUUCUUGGUGACUGUCUCUUUGUGUCUGCCACAUUCCGCCUCUUCAAACUCCCUAAGACAGAGGCAACAGAAAGAUGCCGAGUUGUUUACAAUGGAGGAAUCCUGGGGCAUGAAAAGGAGCUAAUCUUCGAUGCAAAUUUUACAUUCAAGGAAGGUGUAGCUGUUGAAGUGGAUGGGGAGACAGCAGCGGUCUUGAAGAACUCGCGUUUUGCUCACGAUUUUCUCUUCACGCCUGUUGAAGUCACCCUACCAGCUCCUCAGGGCUGUUCUGAGUUAGAAACAAAGGUUAUAAUCAGAGAUCCAUUCAAGCUUGCAGAGAAACCUGACAAGAUGAAGCUCGGACCUGCACCGGCAGGUGCUGGAGGCUGCUGUGGCAAAAGGCAAAGCUGCUAGCUGCUAUGGCCAGCACGGAGGGGCCCACCGUGCACGAGCCGGUGGCUGGAGAGCAGUCACAAAGGCUUCUUAGCCUGCUCUUCACCAGUGCACAAAUUAUGGGACGAUAGCAAAGCCACCGCAAUCUAGACCACUGCUAAGAAAAAGAGUGAUUUUUAAAGGGUGUUAAUUUAAGGUUCACAGCAAAUCGCUGGCUUUUCUAUUUCACUAUUUCAGAGUUCUGGUGCCCCCUAGUGCUCAGAAGUAGAACUUGGACGCCUAAGGUUUACUCAAAGGGCCAAAGGCAUCAAUCAACGUUGUGAGAAUGUCUUCCUUCCAGCCUACCACAGGACACCUUCGGGUUUGUCUCUGUGGCUGCCCAGGAAGCACAGUACUUACUAAAUUUAUGCUAACUAUGACAAAAAAUUGUUAACUCAAAUCUGGUAGGAGUAUGCUUCAGGUUGCUGUCUUCAAACUUUUUUUUCUAUAAUUGAAUGAAAAAGAAAAUAAAUGAAAAGUAAAUUU